AGAAGAACAAAAAUGACCGGGAAAAUCUGACAGGACUGAGAAGAUGACAACAGCACAGCGGGGUUUUAGAAGCCCAUCAGAGUGAUUUUCUGAGUUCUUUCACAUGCUGUAUGGUCAGCGAAUGGAUGGAUUAUCCAGUCAAGGUACAGAAUGAAAGACUUGACUGAGUUAGAAGAAACUGAGCGACUUUUCAGAGUGAAGAUGUUAUGUGCCUGCUUUCGAACCACACCCGUGGAGAUAUCUGCCAACAAAUGGACAAUCAUUCAUGGGGCUACAGAUGGGGCUGCAUUCAAGAAUUUUCAAUAUGCAGUUAUGUCAAAGCACUCGUUUCGGCUGGCCAGAUUGGAACAGACCUGAAUGGGAAGAUGGCAGAGCUAAGACUGACAAUGUCCAGGAAAAAUGUUAACUAAAAAUUAGUGUUUUUCCUCAGCGAGUGAG
Paramisgurnus dabryanus is the source of this 438-nucleotide long non-coding RNA. RefSeq lists it as uncharacterized. The record is from RefSeq and is a predicted model, not a curated record. NCBI's taxonomy places the organism in Eukaryota, Metazoa, Chordata, Actinopteri, Cypriniformes, Cobitidae.